CGUAGGGGCUAGCGUUGUCCGGAUUUAUUGGGCGUAAAGAGCGUGUAGGCGGCCAGGUAGGUCUGCUGUGAAAACUCGAGGCUCAACCUCGAGACGUCGGCGGAAACCAUCUGGCUAGAGUCCGGAAGAGGAGAGUGGAAUUCCUGGUGUAGCGGUGAAAUGCGCAGAUAUCAGGAAGAACACCCGUGGCGAAGGCGGCUCUCUGGGACGGUACUGACGCUGAGACGCGAAAGCGUGGGGAGCGAACAGGAUUAGAUACCCUGGUAGUCCACGCCGUAAACGAUGGGUGCUAGGUGUGGGCGGUGUCGACUCCGUCCGUGCCGAAGCUAACGCAUUAAGCACCCCGCCUGGGGAGUACGGCCGCAAGGCUA
RNAcentral lists this ribosomal RNA (371 nucleotides) under uncultured organism. Its description in RNAcentral is "bacterial SSU rRNA". It matches the Rfam family "Bacterial small subunit ribosomal RNA", at positions 526 to 896 of the family's 1533-position model. The record is from RNAcentral.